Molecule: long non-coding RNA, 1082 nt
Organism: Dromiciops gliroides (monito del monte)
Lineage: Eukaryota; Metazoa; Chordata; Mammalia; Microbiotheria; Microbiotheriidae
Exons: 4
Source: RefSeq, a predicted model, not a curated record
GUGCCUCCGGCGGAGCGGCGAGCCUGCAGAGGUCGGAGAGUGGUAUGGAAUGGAAGCCAGGGGUCCGGCCCCCAAGAACAGUGGACAGGAUGGUCUCCGAUGUCCCCCCACUUCUAAAUUUGUGACGCUGUCAAUUUUGUGCCGAGCUGUCUUCCUUGAGUGACUUGCCCAGGGUCACACAGCUAAUGGAAGCUGGAUGCGACAGGAGAUAGAUUACUGGGCUUGUAUCAGGAGGACUUAUCUUCAUGAGUUCAGACUCGGCCUCAGACACUAACUUUGUGACCCCGUGUAAAGUCAUCCUUUGACCCUUUCUUCAUGAUUUGGGAUCACCCUCAUGCAUGUGAUGAAGUGUUCUCUGGGAUGAAUCUAAUAUUUAGAGCUAGAAGGACAAGAAAAACAAAACCCCUGUGAUGAAAAGGAUGUUCAAGCAAAACAAGUCCCCACAUUAGCCAAGUCCCAGAACUAGGUUCUCACUUUGUGUGCUAGUCUAUUAUCUUUCUGUCAGGAGGGAGAGAGCAUUCUUCAUCAAUCUUCUGGACUUCUGAUCAUUAUAUUGAUCAGAGUUCUUAAAUUUUAAAAAUUCUUCAUUUUUGUAAUGUUUUUUGGUAUUAGUUGUUUUCCCGGUUCUGUUCAAUUCACUUUGCAUCAAUCAGUUCAUACAAGACUUCCUAAGUCUCUCUGAAACCAUUUCCUUCAUAAUUUUAUUCAGUACCAAAAUGCCAUAAUUUGUUAAGCCAUCCCCAAUUGAUGGCCAUCCCUAUAGGUUCUAGCCCUUUGCCACCACAAAAAAAGAGCUGCUAGAAAUCUCUUUAUACUUAGAGGACCUUUUCUUCUUUCUUUGAUCUCCCUGGGGGGCAUACUCUUAUAAAUCUGAGAAAGGGAUGAGUCAGCAUAGGGUCACAGGCUGGUCCUACUUGAAAUUGUUGUGAUGAUCAGCUUGACAAGAAGGACUGAAGUGAGUUGCUCUGUUUCAUCUUCUGGUACCACAAGAAGGUGAGAUACAUCAGGGCAAAUCAAGAGAACCAAGACCCUACCUACUCUAAAUGCUUCGGUGAAGAUGGAGAUGACCACUUAAAACUGCU